AUGUGCGAAAGUUUUAACAAGUGGAUAGUAGAAGCUAGGUUUCUCCCAAUUCUUUUCAUGCUAGAGACAAUUAGGAGAAUGGUGAUGGUUAGAAUACAAGAGAACAGAGACAAGUGUGAGAAAUGGGAUGAUCCUAUAUGUCCUAAUAUAAACAAGAAAUUAAGCAAGGCCAUCGAUGUAUCUGGUAUAUGUCAUGCAGUUAGCAAUGGAAAUAACUGUUUUGAGGUGCAACAUGGAUCUCAAAGGUUUACAGUUGAUCUCAAUCAAAUGACCUGUAGCUGUAGGUAUUGGCAGUUAUCUGGUAUAGUUUGUGCUCAUGCCGUCUCUGCAAUCCAUCAACACACCAAUCAGUUACAUGGUUAUGUGGCUAGUUGUUACUCAGUGGAAGCAUUCAAGAAAACCUAUGCAUAUUGCCUGCAACCAGUUGAAGGACCCCAAGGUUGGCCAGAAUCAGACAAGCCUAAACCACUAGCUCCUAGAUAUGUUAAGAUGCCAGGAAGGCCUCGGAAAGAGAGAAAAAGAGAGGGUACUGAAAAACCAAAAGCUACCAAAGUUUCGAGGGUUGGAACUUUGAUUAGAUGCAGGAAAUGCAAGUGCACUGGUCACAAUAAAACUACAUGUCCAGGAAAUGCCGCUUCAAGUUCAAAUGGAGCAGCUACUGUUGGACAAAAUGCAGCUUCAGGAAAUGCCGCUAGAUCAUUUACCAAGUCAAGAAGCAAUGCAAAAGCCUCCAAGAUGUCUAGUUCCCAGGUACAAUACACAUAA
RNAcentral lists this ribosomal RNA (765 nucleotides) under Triticum aestivum (bread wheat). Its description in RNAcentral is "partial small subunit ribosomal RNA". Lineage: Eukaryota; Viridiplantae; Streptophyta; Magnoliopsida; Poales; Poaceae. The record is from RNAcentral.